Molecule: long non-coding RNA, 5451 nt
Filed under: Sus scrofa (pig)
Lineage: Eukaryota; Metazoa; Chordata; Mammalia; Artiodactyla; Suidae
Description: lncRNA (ENSSSCG00000062584.1)
Source: RNAcentral
GCAAAGCAGAGACAUGGGAUGGCCAAGCACCUGUUCAGUUCUUGAGGCUCUUCAUAGGAGACAGUGAAUUGUCAAAAUUAUAUAGAAAUUUAAGUCAGAUUUUAUUACUUGCAGCCAAAGCCAUCCUAACUGCUAAAGUACUGUUUGCUGGAGUAGGCUGCAAGACGUUACAGAUAGUUUCCUUUCCAUACCACCAUGUUUCCAGUAGGCUUUUCUAUUUGUUAAUGACCUUGAGGAUGCUCUCCAGAGGGUGCAACACACCCAUGCUUUAUCUCAGGAUAAAAACUCUAACAUAUCACCAAAUUCCUGAGAAAGCAGCCAAUGAAAUGCUAGGGUUUGAUGAUGAGAAAGGAGCCAGGGAAGACUGUGGAGUAUGGGACAGAGCCAGGAGUUGGGGAGGAUGGGCUGCAGAAUGGGUAAGCUGUGAGCAGCUUUGUGAGAGCACAGUGGAAGCAGUGGGGAGACCUGCAGUAGGAAGGGCCGGUUCUGGGGUGGGCACCAGAGGCAAAUAGGGUAUAGCCCAAGUGUAAGUUUGACAAUCCAGGGCUACCCCAAAAGGCACAGUUCUGAUCUGGGACACAGCAAAUGGCAGGGAUUCUCAUUUAAACUUGUGGAUUCUUGGAAUCCUACCUGUCCCACUGAAUAGAUGCUAUCAAGUUUUACCUGUCAAUAGUUUUUCUGGUUGGCUGAAGAAACUCAGCUUCUGUGAUAUAAUGUGAUUUAAUCCUAGUGUAUAAUAUGUAUUCCUAACAAGUAGACUCCAGGUCUAAUGAUUUUGGCAUAUACAACUUGAUUUGGGUUUGAUAAGAUAUAUUGCUUUUGAGUCUGGAAAAGAACAUUCCCUUCUCUUUUUUUUCCCCCUCAUUCCAGCUACCACCAUGCUCUUUAAAAAAACAUUCUUUUCUCCUUUGUGUUUCAGAGUAAUAGAAAGUUGUGGGUUUUUUUCUUUUUUGGUGGACAUAGGAUCCAAAAAAACUAAGGCAUAUUAUAUAGAAGUAUAGGACAGGUUCAGCUUCUGCAGUCAUACUAUGUCUCAUUUUCUAAACAGAAUCUUCUGAACUCGCCACUUAGUCUGAAGAUGACAUACACCCUGCAGGUGCUGCCCACAUGAGCAGAGCAUAUGUUUCUGCUAAUGUGCAAUAAAACUUGAGAGAAACUACUGAAGCCUACUGUCUUCAGAAUCCUUCCAAUCAAUUCUCCAAUGAUCCACCCGUGUCCUCUUGGCACCUCCCUUCUGGGUCCUGCCAAGCAUUAGCUCCUGGCUGCAUUUCAUCUCUGCCUGUUUGCUCCUAAGAGGCUAAUCUCAUGAAUUCCAUUUGCUACUUUUAGAAAGGGAAAGGAGGAGGUAAAUCAAGAGAUGAAGUUGUUUUGGAGAUCACCUUAAGGCAAUUUCAAUAAUAAAUGACUACAGGGCUGAGAUUCACAUCCUAAUUAUAAAUGACUACUUGAGUGGAUGGGCUCUUCUUCAAAGUGCUUGGAGGUAUGGUUUGCUCUUGGCUUGGUACUGAUUCAAAAAUACUCCUUAGCUUUAUUAUGCAGUGACCGGCAUAAUUAAGUUGCCAAAUAGCUUUCCCCCUCCCCCAAACUUUUUCACCCUCUUUUCAAUUACAGUGAAGUUUCUGAAAAAUUCAGCUUAGUGCCUUCAAUUUCCGACUUGAUCCAGGCAAAUGAGGCCAGAGUAAACAGAUGGUGCUGCUGCUGCCCUCCUGCAGGCAAGCAGCCUCAGAUGCUGUUGAAGAAGAAAGAAACGGGGGGAUUAUAGAGCUUUGGGCUCUAUGCUAUAAACAUCUUUACUCCACAAGUCAGAAUCACAAAUCUUUCAGUCUGAGCAAUGGCAUCGUCUGAACUCCGUGAGAGAGUAUUUAGAGAAAGAAGUAAUUUAAAGGGCAUCAGUGGUGGAAUUCAAAAUUUUAAUAAAUAAUUAUACAUUCGUUAAGGUGAAAAUUAGAAAAUCUGGCACCCUAUCAGCUUGAACCCUCAAUUGAGUAGCAAUUUUGCCCAAUUAUAGUAAAACACAAUUAGUGCCUAUAAUAAGGGCCCUGUGUCCUUGGAAUUAUUGGAAUGCCUCUGAGUCACCCAAGAAGGAUACGCUGUGUUCAGCAUAGUCCCUGUUACAUUUACUAUAUAUUCUCUUUUUAAAAAGUGUGGCACUCAGUCCUGCAAUGGUAAUUGACAACCACAUGAAACUUCCUCCUUUUUCUUCUAUUGGGAUGUUGUUGAAAGUAUUGUGUAAGCUGGGUGUCUGGUUCACUGAGGAUCACAGAAGAAACUGUUUUUAGAUUUUGCUAUUUGACUCUAUUGACUUGUGUAAACUAUCUUGUUUCCUGCUUUGCUUUGGCCUCUUGAAAGCUCAGUGUCUACAGGCAAUUGUUGAAUGCAUGAGAUAGGAUGCUAAUCUUAUUCCUCCAUUUUAUUUUCUCAUUUGGUUUUCCUUAGUCCCUUGUCCUCUCAACCAUUUACUUUGUCCCUUUUUGUACGCAUUCUAUAAAUCAUUUCACCUUGUCUGCAGCAUAACUGCAAAUGUAAAUGCUUUCUUUCUUUCCCUAAGCCCCACUCUUUGGUGAAUGAAGCAUCACCUAAUUUUAAACAGUGAACGUCUGCUAAGAGUUAGAUUUUAUGAAAACUGUGAAAUGAAACUUUUUUUGUUUGGUCGGUUGGUUUUUUUUUUUUUUUGGUCUCUUUGUCUUUUUAGGGCCACAUCCUAGGCAUAUGGAGGUUCCCAGGCUAGGGGUCCAGUUGGAGCUGUAGUCACCGGCCUGCACCACAGCCUCAGCAACUCGGGAUCCAAGCUGCGUCUGUGACCUACACCACAGCUCACGUGAACACCAAAUCCUUAAUCCGCUAAGCAAGGUCAGGGGUCCAACCUGUAUCCUCAUGGCUGCUAGUCAGGUUCGCUAACCGCUGAGCCAUAAUGGGAACUCCUGAAAUGAAAUUCUUAAUUCCUUCAAGGAAUUUUAUGAAUAGAUAGGCAUACACUUUUUCUGGAUUUGUGUCGCUAAAAUAUGAAAAUGACUUAAAACACUUGAAUGGACACAUGCCACCAUAAAGCUGGGACAUUUAAACGGUUUUUCUAUGUGACUUCUUUUUUUUUCUUUAUUCUUUUUUUUUUUUUUUUUUUUUUUUUUUUUUUUUUUUUUUUUAGGGCUGCAACCCCGGCAUAUGGAGGUUCCCAGGCUAGGGGUCAAAUUGGAGCUACAGCUGCUGGCUUAUACCACAGCCACAGCAAUACCAGAUCUGAGCCGUGUCUGCAACCUACACCACAGCUCAUGUCAAUGCUGGAUCCUUAACCCACUGAGCAAGGCCAAGGAUUGAACCUGAAUCCUCAUGGAUACUAGCCAGAUUCUUUUCCACUGAGCCAUGACAGGAACUCCUCUAUAUAACUUCUAUUACUUAAUAUAGAUCAUUACAUGGCUUCUAGUCAUAUCAAUCUGAUUCAAGUACAUAGAGUCCGAAUUAUGUAAUGCCUUGUAAGAUAUUACAUAAAGAACAGAAUAAAUUAUGCAGCUUCUUAAACCUUGAAUGGCCCGCCUUGGUCACAGUCUCAUUAUCCACUUUUAAUGGAGCAUCAUAUAGCAUUAAUACUCAUUUUCCAAGUCUAUAUGAUUUCUGCAAAAUGUGUCUACACAAAAGGCUGAGGAAGAAUUUUCUUUCCUGUUUAAAUCGAUGAUGAAUAAGUGGGUCACAUGCUUUCAGUUAUGUGUUUUGGGGUGAGAGAAAACGAGAACAGUGUGAGAAUAACAGGGUGUUAGGGUGAAAGCUAGAGCCAUCCCACUUUCCCACAUCUCCCAGGCACAGUAAUCCCAGCUCCAUUAGUACAGAAUGAGAGGCCAUUUGGGUAAAUACAGUCACAUAAAUAUAUCAUUAAGCAGUUUUGUAAAAUUCACAUUAUUUACUCAAGCAAAUAUGUAAUUAGAACAUUUUUUAAAACACAGAUUAUCUACCAAAGAGACUCAAACUGUUCCUUUGGAGCAUUUAAGCCUAUUGGGUAAAACUGUAAUUAGGCCACUAAUUAAAACCAAAUCAUAUUAUUUAUUAAAAGGUGCUUUGCUGAUCUGAUAAGCAUUUUCUUUGCUCUUUUAAGGCAUUUUAAUAAUUGAUUAUUGUAAACCCCUUGGCUAUCACUUGCCCUUCAUUCAUUCCUUUCUGAUUUGCUUCUUGUUUUAUUUUAUGAUGAUGGAUAUAGAUUUAGAUUUCCCUGUGGGUAGUAUGUGCAAAAAUUCCUGAUCUAGCAUUGCCACCCUCCAUCCCUGCUCAGUCCUUCAAAGAUGUGAGGAUGAAAAAACAGCUCACUGUUUUUUUGUUUUUGUUUUUUACUAUCUCCUCUUUGAAUUUUUUUAGGGGAAGUAGUUAGUAGUAAUUGUCCUUUUAUUUUUUCCUCAUUGUUCCACAUGUACUUGAUAAGAUAAAAUUUCUUUCAAGUUUUAAAACACUGAGGUUGCAUAACCUUUCUGGAAAUGGAUUUGUUCUGAAGCAAGUCAGAUUUUCUUUCUGGGCCAUUUUUGUGACCAAAAUAUGUGUAUUGGUAAAAUGUUUAAUUCACUGUAGUCUUCUGUCUGUGGUCUUGAAAAGGAGUGAUGACCCAUAUAGAAAGCAAGCCUUAAUCCUGUCUCUGGUUUGUGUAGAGCAGUAUUCACUUAAGCCUUCCAAGGAACUUAGGUCCAAAGGAUUUUAAUGGGUGGCUGUGGGAAAAGAGUAACCUAAUUUUGGAUUGCUUUGCCCCAGUCUAGUCUCCAUAUUUUCACUAGUGUCUGGGGCAGGGAGGGGAAUGUUUAUUUUUUCUUCCUAAAAAUGCAAUCUGAUCAAUCAGUUUCUUAAAAGCGUAAAAUCCUUUUUUUGCUCAGAGCCAUUGUUUUUGCUUUACCCUUUGUUUGGAAUCCUGCCUGGCUCUGGAUUCUCCUUUGCCUAGGCAACUCAAAGUCUCAGUGCAAUGUGCAGUUAUGAACACAGAAGUGGGAGCCAGACUGUCUAGGUUUGAAUCCAGCUCCUCAUCUAAUUAGCUGAGCAAACUUGGCAAGUCAUAUACCUUCCUUGCUGCUAGUUUCCUGUUUACCUCCCUCUUAACUAAAGAUCAGUGAGAAUCACUAUACAUAAAGCACCUACAAAGUGAUCACUAUUAUUUAGGUCUUUUGUUUCUGGGAAACUUCCUUAACCCUCCAAAUCUUGGUUCUCCUUGUACCUUUCCUGUUUUAACCCCUACCAUACAUUGCAUCACACUUACUUAUUGAUUACCUUUCUCUUACAAUUAGACUAAGCACUCCAUGAGAGAUAACAUAAGAGAUGAAGUUUCUUUAGUGAUCUAUCUAUAACACCUAGCACACUGCUGGCUCCUAGAAUACCUAUUUGGUUUGGGGCACUGUGUUAGGUGCCAGAGAGACGCUAGUAAACAGAAAAGACAUUGCUCACCCUCAUGUAGCUUUCAGUCUAGUAGGGAGAUUCUGCGCCAAUAAUUCU